This 374-nucleotide long non-coding RNA is filed under the name Carica papaya (papaya). Its description in RNAcentral is "long non-coding RNA (CPAP_LNC012889)". Lineage: Eukaryota; Viridiplantae; Streptophyta; Magnoliopsida; Brassicales; Caricaceae. The record is from RNAcentral.
AUUGACCGAAAAACACCGCUGAAGUCCAGCGGCACCGCUGCGGGUUUCCUCAGUUUUUGCCUCCAAUGAGGCCCUUCCCUUUUCUCGUUCGAUGUAAUUUUUAUACCACUAUGACCACCGUCCUUUUCUCUACAUGUUGACUGGAGCAAAACACCAAAUCGCAACUCGCACCAGAGGAGCUGUCGUACACGAGAUCUUCGCCGCCGGUAAGUUUCGAUUUUCUAAAAUUUUUUGGCCCACCGAGGGCCCUAGGGGUGUUUUAUCACCGGAACCAAUGCAAGUUUGGCCGAAUUCGGCCGAAAACAACCAACCCGAGGCGGAUCGUCGCCGUGGGCGGCAACACCGUGCUGGAAUUCUGAAAUUGGGCGAAAGGU